GAUGAACGCUGGCGGCGUGCCUAAUACAUGCAAGUCGAGCGAACAGAUGAGAAGCUUGCUUCUCUGAUGUUAGCGGCGGACGGGUGAGUAACACGUGGGUAACCUACCUAUAAGACUGGGAUAACUCCGGGAAACCGGGGCUAAUGCCGGAUAAUAUUUUGAACCGCAUGGUUCAAUAGUGAAAGACGGUUUCGGCUGUCACUUAUAGAUGGACCCGCGCCGUAUUAGCUAGUUGGUAAGGUAAAGGCUUACCAAGGCGACGAUACGUAGCCGAGCUGAGAGGGUGGUCGGCCACACUGGAACUGAGACACGGUCCAGAUUCCUCCGGGAGGCAGCAGUAGGGAAUCUUCCGCAAUGGGCGAAAGCCUGACGGAGCAACGCCGCGUGAGUGAUGAAGGUCUUCGGAUCGUAAAACUCUGUUGUUAGGGAAGAACAAAUUUGUUAGUAACUGAACAAGUCUUGACGGUACCUAACCAGAAAGCCACGGCUAACUACGUGCCAGCCGCCGCGGUAA
RNAcentral lists this ribosomal RNA (514 nucleotides) under uncultured bacterium. RNAcentral's name for it is "partial 16S ribosomal RNA". It matches the Rfam family "Bacterial small subunit ribosomal RNA", at positions 28 to 523 of the family's 1533-position model. The record is from RNAcentral.